This is a long non-coding RNA of Ochotona princeps (American pika), 249 nucleotides long. RefSeq lists it as uncharacterized. Lineage: Eukaryota; Metazoa; Chordata; Mammalia; Lagomorpha; Ochotonidae. The transcript has 2 exons. The record is from RefSeq and is a predicted model, not a curated record.
GUCUCAUCACAGGAAGUCUGGAAUGAGGACUUGGUCAAGUGUUUAUUUGAUGACUCAAAACUUGGAUGCUGUUGGCAGACAUUUUGAAUCAUGGAGGUUUAAGGCAGCAAAAGAAUGACUGUGAGCUGCGCAAAGAGAAACUAAGAUUUCACUGAGCUACUUUGUUAUUUCAAUUAGUGUAAAAACAGCCUAUGGACUUGGAACCAUCUGCUCCAAUCACCUUUAACUCCAAUAAACUAUGUUAAUGUU